UACGUAGGUCCCGAGCGUUGUCCGGAUUUAUUGGGCGUAAAGCGAGCGCAGGUGGUUUAUUAAGUCUGAUGUGAAAGCCUUCGGCUCAACCGGAGAAUUGCAUCAGAAACUGUUGAACUUGAGUGCAGAAGAGGAGAGUGGAACUCCAUGUGUAGCGGUGGAAUGCGUAGAUAUAUGGAAGAACACCAGUGGCGAAGGCGGCUCUCUGGUCUGCAACUGACGCUGAGGCUCGAAAGCAUGGGUAGCGAACAGG
RNAcentral lists this ribosomal RNA (253 nucleotides) under uncultured bacterium. RNAcentral describes it as "partial 16S ribosomal RNA". It matches the Rfam family "Bacterial small subunit ribosomal RNA", at positions 524 to 776 of the family's 1533-position model. The record is from RNAcentral.